RNAcentral lists this unclassified non-coding RNA (2476 nucleotides) under Leishmania donovani. RNAcentral's name for it is "gene:LdHU3.31.1870(CDS-product:amidohydrolase_put ative)". The record is from RNAcentral. Lineage: Eukaryota; Euglenozoa; Kinetoplastea; Trypanosomatida; Trypanosomatidae.
AAGUGUCCGCUUGAAACCGUGACAACACCAAAUUUCUCUCUUUGUCCCUCUCUCAAAGGUCUUCACGAGCUCCCCUACUGGCGGUCACCUACACCGACAGUAUGCCGGCCAUCAACCGCGAGGAGCUCGACCGGCGUGUGGAGCAGAUCUACGACCAGGUGGUUGCCUGGCGCCGCUACAUCCACGAGAACCCGGACCUCUCGUUCGAGGAGCAGCCGACGGCGGCCUACAUCAUGGGUGAGCUGCAGAAGAUGGACGCGAAGGGCGAAUGGCUGCACAUCAGCCAGCCUGAAAGCAACUGCGUUGUUGCUGACCUGAAGGGUGGCGGUGGCGACGGCCCGAUCAUUGCGCUGCGUGCGGACAUCGACGCGCUGCCUGUCGAGGAGCUGACAGACGUGCCGUUUGCGUCGAAGAAGCAGGGCGUGAUGCACGCGUGCGGCCACGACACGCACGCGGCGAUGCUGCUCGGCGCGACGAGGCUGCUGCUGGAGGAUGCGGGGAGGAUCAAGGGCACCGUGCGCCUGCUGUUUCAGCCUGCGGAGGAGGUGCCGCCGGGUGGCGCCCAGAUGAUGAUCGAGAAGGGCUGCAUGGAGGGCGUGGCGAUGGUGUUUGCUGAGCACAUCAUCCCGAUGAAGGAGGGGCCUACGGGCACAGUUUUGGUGAGGAAGGGUCCGGUUCUCUCCAGCAGUGACACCCUACACGCGGAAAUAAUUGGCCGCGGCGGGCAUGCCUCCAUGCCGGAGAGCUCCAUCGACCCUAUCGCGAUCGCGUGCCUUGCCGUGACUGCCCUUCAGCAGGUGGUGUCGCGUCGCAUGCCGCCAUCCAAGUGCCCAAUCUUCACCAUCACCACGAUAACCUCGAGCUCUGACAGCUACAACGUGAUCCCUGACAGGGUGACGCUGAAGGGCACGCUGCGCACGCAGGAUCGCGAGGUGCGGGAAGAUGCCAAAAAGGCUGUCGCUGAGGUGCUUCACGGCAUGUGCAGAUCGUACGGUGCGAUGUGCAACCUCAACUGGCUUCCUGGCUACGAUGUGACGGUGAACACGGACAGCGCGUACGACGUGGGAAUGCGAGUUUUUGCGCAGGUGCUCCCCUCGAAGGACCAGGUUGUGGAGCUUUCGGCUUGCAUGUCUCCCUCCGAGGACUUCAGCGAGUUUGCGAAGGUGGCACCUGCGAACUAUGUGGGGAUUGGCUGCUACAAUCCUGGGAAGGGGUGCACUGCGGUGAACCACAACGCGAAGUUCCGCGUGGACGAGGAGGCGAUGAAGGUCGGCGUGAAGGUCCAUUAUGGCACUAUCCACGAGCUGCUCAUGCAGUGAAGAAAGCGCCGAUAUAUGUAUUCCUUUUAAAUCUGUUUGUUUUAGAGUUCGCAGGGCUGUCUGCCGCCUCGCUUUCUGGUUUUGUAAGGCAGGAUAUGGCUGAGCAGGGACACCUCAUAUGUGUGGCCCACGGUUUAUAUCAGCUCCUUCCAGAAAGCCGGCGUGAUGGCGACGAAUAUGCCGGUGAUCUCCGUUCCUCCCCGCUGUUGUCUGCCCCUUUUCUUUCCUUUUUUCAUGGCUUGCGAGACUCGCGCAAGCUCGUUUGCGCGAGACGGCGAGAGAGACCGGCAACGAAAAGGACGAGGGCAGCUCUUUUUUGUUUCGUGUCGUAUGUACACGUUUUCGACACCUCUGUGCUUGUAACCGAUUCGCGGUCUUCCGCGAUCUCUUUAUUGCUUUUUCUCUCCUCACCUAUCGUCUCCCCCGCCCUUUUCUGUUGGUUUCUCCAUGCGCGCGUGUUUGCCUCUGCCUGUGGCUCUCUCAUCAUCAUCAUCGUAAGGGUUCGCAGUGGUGGGGAGAGAGUAGCCGCGACACGGCUGCAACACACGUGUGUAGCCUUUCUAUCCCUCCUCCAUCCUUCCCUUCUUCUCUGUUGUGCGCUUGUUCAUAUCCUACCCCUAACUCUUUUUCAACGGCUUCACGCGGCAUCCGCAGCGACGAUACGAAAAAAAAAGAUCGGAGAACAGUGAAAAGGGCGAUCACCCCAUUUGUUGAAGCUCGCGAUGUGGUUCUUGUACGCGCAGCACCUACUACAAUUUACCUCAACUUUCUGUGUUCAUCUUGUAGUGGGGGUGAGUUGUGGCGCGAGCGACUCUGACCGUGCCGCGUUCUCAUGAGUUCCUUGUUUUGUUCCUGCUGUUUGUCGCUUGGCUAAGGUGAUGUACGUUCUCCUGCUGAAACUCUCCACUUGCCGGGUCUAUAUCUAUGGCGACUUCCCCUUUUUUCUUUUCAGUUGCAGGGGGGGGGCGGAGUCGGAGGAAGCCCAUGAUUGACCACAUGGCGUCGUACCCGCUUUCCCCUUCUUUGCUUCAAUUCCACCAAUGUCUGAUAGCAUGUCGUAGCGACAUGCCCUUUUGUGCACGACCCUGAUCUUAGCACUCCUUCCUCUUUCCCUGUUCUGUUGCCCUCGCCUCUCCUCUACGACCUCGACGACUUAG